GGAGAACACAAGGGGUGGACUCACACCGGCUCUAACAACACAUCAGGUUUCAGCUUCUCGACCCAACGCUGCCAAGACAGGAGGUCCAGCGGUAUCCCAGAAUUCCCUGCAGACAUAUUUAAAUCCAGCUGUGAGCUGGAAAAGGAGAACGCUCAUUUCGUGGUGGUGGACUUGGUUCUGGAGGUGCUGGAAGGGGUUAAAUCUACCAAGAGCUUCAACAGGUGGUUUUCAAACAUGAACAGAAAAGCAAAUAAUAAAGAACGCUGUGGAAAAACACCCUGGAGUUCAGAGGAUACACUGAGAUGGAAGGGAGGUGGAGCUGAGAAACACAAAACCAGAGUCAGAGGAGGAGACUUCAGGACUACACACAGAAAAACACACAGUUCUGAAGGAUCUGGAAAACAGCUGCACAUACAGGAUGAAGAAAAGAGGAAAGAAGAAGAGGAAGAGUGGGAGCCAGGGACUAAUGAAGCUGAGCAUCAACCAAAAACAUUCUCCGUCCUCUCCAAUGACAGCGGAUUUGAAGAUUAUGCAGAUUCCAACCUGCUGACACACAGACAAGCUCCCAUAAGGUAA
Molecule: long non-coding RNA, 576 nt
Filed under: Sphaeramia orbicularis (orbiculate cardinalfish)
Lineage: Eukaryota; Metazoa; Chordata; Actinopteri; Kurtiformes; Apogonidae
Description: lncRNA (ENSSORG00005024665.1)
Source: RNAcentral